UGGGGAAUAUUGGACAAUGGGCGAAAGCCUGAUCCAGCCAUGCCGCGUGAGUGACGAAGGCCUUAGGGUUGUAAAACUCUUUCGUCGGGGACGAUAAUGACGGUACCCGAAGAAGAAGCUCCGGCUAACUUCGUGCCAGCAGCCGCGGUAAUACGAAGGGAGCUAGCGUUGUUCGGAAUCACUGGGCGUAAAGCGCACGUAGGCGGAUAGUUAAGUCAGAGGUGAAAUCCCGGAGCUCAACUUCGGAACUGCCUUUGAUACUGGCAAUCUAGAGUCCGGAAGAGGUUAGUGGAAUUCCCAGUGUAGAGGUGAAAUUCGUAGAUAUUGGGAAGAACACCAGUGGCGAAGGCGGCUAACUGGUCCGGUACUGACGCUGAGGUGCGAAAGCGUGGGGAGCAAACAGGAUUAGAUACCCCAGUAGUCCCUGAGCGGGCUGGCAAGGCGCAU
RNAcentral lists this ribosomal RNA (447 nucleotides) under uncultured bacterium. RNAcentral describes it as "bacterial SSU rRNA". It matches the Rfam family "Bacterial small subunit ribosomal RNA", at positions 355 to 825 of the family's 1533-position model. The record is from RNAcentral.